Molecule: ribosomal RNA, 498 nt
Filed under: uncultured bacterium
Lineage: Bacteria
Description: partial 16S ribosomal RNA
Rfam family: Bacterial small subunit ribosomal RNA
Source: RNAcentral
GACGAACGCUGGCGGCGUGCUUAACACAUGCAAGUCGAACGAAGUGCUUAAGACAGAUUCCUUCGGGAUGAAGAUUUAAGUAUCUUAGUGGCAAACGGGUGAGUAACGCGUGAGAAACCUGCCUCGUACAAAGGGAUAGCCUCGAGAAAUCGGGAUUAAUACCUUAUGAUACAUAUUAUACGCAUGUAUGAUAUGUUAAAGCGUAAAGCGGUAUGAGAUGGUCUCGCGUCUGAUUAGCUAGUUGGUGAGGUAACGGCCCACCAAGGCGACGAUCAGUAACCCGUCUGAGAGGAUGACCUGUCACACUGGGACUGAGACACGGCCCAGACUCCUACGGGAGGCAGCAGUGGGGAAUAUUGCACAAUGGAGGAAACGCUGAUGCAGCGACGCCGCGUGGAUGAUGAAGGCUUUCGAGUCGUAAAAUCCUGUCCUUAGGGAAGAUAAUGACGGUACCUAAGGAGGAAGCCCCGGCUAACUACGUGCCAGCCGCCGCGGUAA